Long non-coding RNA from Tripterygium wilfordii, 381 nucleotides. RefSeq lists it as uncharacterized. NCBI's taxonomy places the organism in Eukaryota, Viridiplantae, Streptophyta, Magnoliopsida, Celastrales, Celastraceae. The record is from RefSeq and is a predicted model, not a curated record. The transcript is spliced from 2 exons.
GUGGAGUUCGGGACUCGCAGUCCAAGGCCAGAGGAAUUAGUUACGAGAAGAAGAAGCGAAAGCGACCUCCACCACCACAACAACUGAAUCAGCAGUCACAAGCUAGUGCAAGCCAUUAUGAGGGGAUCCCAGCAAUUAUAUCCAGUUAUCCCAACUGCUAAUUAUGAAGUUGUGAACAAGUUGAUUAGAAUAUUCGCAGCUAAUUAAUGAAUUAUGGGAUGCCAUAUUAUGUGAUCCUAGUAGUAGCAGUAACUGCGUGUGUUUGUAGUUGAAGAUCACUGUAUUUGUAUAUAUAUGUGUUAGAUUUUGGAGAUCAUGUUGUGUGUCUUGUUCUGUGUUGCUGUCUUGGAUAUAUAUGGUAUAUUGGUAUUGGCAAAUCAA